Saccostrea cuccullata (small rock oyster) is the source of this 423-nucleotide long non-coding RNA. RefSeq lists it as uncharacterized. Lineage: Eukaryota; Metazoa; Mollusca; Bivalvia; Ostreida; Ostreidae. The transcript is spliced from 3 exons. The record is from RefSeq and is a predicted model, not a curated record.
AAGAAAUGAAUUUGGAGAACCAAGUUGCUGCUAUAAUUAUUACUACGUCAACAACACAUGCAAAGAGUGUCCAGCAGGAUAUUGGGGACACAACUGCUCUGAUAAAUGUUCAGACAAGUGGUUUGGACGUCUAUGUAGUUUAGAAUGCUUAUGCCCCUCGACAGACUGCAAUCAUGGUAGUGGUUGUAUUCAAACAACAGAUCAUUCAAGAAAUAGAGGGUAUAGUCUAUCCAAGCAUUCCCCGAAUUGGACGAUUUCCUACAUUCUAAAAAUUACUACACCAGAAACAUUAGAAAACUAUCAUUACUCUUAUAGAGGUGUUAUAAUUUCAAUCGGAACAUUGAUUUCAAUAUAUAUUUUCCUGAUCAUUAUCUAUGAAAUUUACAAAAAUCUGAAAAACGAAUUUUUGAAAAGGCAACAUCA